Molecule: ribosomal RNA, 468 nt
Filed under: uncultured bacterium
Lineage: Bacteria
Description: partial 16S ribosomal RNA
Rfam family: Bacterial small subunit ribosomal RNA
Source: RNAcentral
GACGAACGCUGGCGGCGUGCUUAACACAUGCAAGUCGAACGGAAAGGCCCUGCUUUUGUGGGGUGCUCGAGUGGCGAACGGGUGAGUAACACGUGAGUAACCUGCCCUUGACUUUGGGAUAACUUCAGGAAACUGGGGCUAAUACCGGAUAGGAGCUCCUGCUGCAUGGUGGGGGUUGGAAAGUUUCGGCGGUUGGGGAUGGACUCGCGGCUUAUCAGCUUGUUGGUGGGGUAGUGGCUUACCAAGGCUUUGACGGGUAGCCGGCCUGAGAGGGUGACCGGCCACAUUGGGACUUAGAUACGGCCCAGAAUCCUACGGGGGGCAGCAGUGGGGAAUAUUGCACAAUGGGCGGAAGCCUGAUGCAGCAACGCCGCGUGCGGGAUGACGGCCUUCGGGUUGUAAACCGCUUUCGCCUGUGACGAAGCGUGAGUUACGGUAAUGGGUAAAGAAGCACCGGCUAACUACGUG